Doryrhamphus excisus (bluestripe pipefish) is the source of this 5878-nucleotide RNA transcript. It is a transcript of the gene named phospholipid phosphatase related 2a, with no coding region annotated. NCBI's taxonomy places the organism in Eukaryota, Metazoa, Chordata, Actinopteri, Syngnathiformes, Syngnathidae. The record is from RefSeq and is a predicted model, not a curated record.
UCUUACUCCUCAGACAUGCUUUCCCUCUCUCCCCAUUUCUACUGUAGCUGCAUUGGACCAAAUACAACACAGGAGGUUAUUUCAGCCACUUAAAUCAUUAGUCAGCGCUGGUUUUUGGAGCAAGCUUGUUAAAGGAUGCCGUGUGUGUAGUGUGUGCAUGUGUGUGUUUGUGUGUGUGUGUGAACGUGCUGCUGCUGCUGCUGAUGCACGCCUCCUUCUCUUCAUCUCUGAGGAGCUGUGGACAGAAGCUGAGGACGUGAGGAGAGAUUUGUCACACUACUUUUACAUCAUCAACAUCUGAUCAGACAUGGUCACCGCAUAGGAAUCUGGUACCACGGCGAAAGUCAGCCCAGCGACAAGGUACCCGAGGAGGAGUUGAGAGGUUGAAGAAUUUACACAGAGGCAUGGCAGCGGAGGAGAAGCCAGGUGUGAAGAGCAGCAGCUCCAUCGUUCCCUGUUUCCUGUUUGUUGAGCUGGUGAUCAUGGCUGGGACGGUUCUCCUGGCUUACUACUUCGAGUACACAGACACUUUCCCCGUGCACGUCCAAGGGUUCUUCUGCUAUGACAAGACCUUCUCCAAGCCCUACCCAGGACCAGACAGCACCAGCAAGAUCCCCCCUGUGCUCAUCUACUCGCUUGUCUCAGCCAUCCCCACUCUCACGAUUCUUGUUGGAGAAUUGUGCGCUUUCUUCACCAAGGCUGAAGGGAGCCAGGAGAAGACCAUUGUCACUGCAGAUUGCUGCUACUUCAACCCCCUACUGAGACGCAUCAUACGCUUCUUAGGUGUCUAUGCCUUCGGUCUGUUUACCACGACCAUCUUCGCCAAUGCCGGCCAGGUUGUGACAGGAAACCAGACUCCUCACUUCCUUUCGGCAUGUCGACCAAACUACACAGCACUGGGCUGCCAGUCCAACAUGCACUACAUCACAGAACGCCGCGCCUGCACCGGCAACCCUCUCGUGGUCAUGUCUGCACGUAAAUCCUUCCCAUCCAAGGACGCCGCGCUCAGCGUCUACUCUGCAGUGUACACAGUGAUGUACGUGACGCUGAUGUUCAAGACCAAAGGCACACGUCUGACUAAGCCCACGAUCAGCUUCACCCUGCUCUGUCUGGCCAUGAUCGUAGGCGUGGUCAGGGUGGCUGAAUACCGCAACCAUUGGGCAGAUGUCCUGGCGGGAUUCUUCACUGGUGGAUCCAUUGCUGUGUUUUUGGUGACAUGUGUGAUUAACAACUUCCAGCAGUUGCAGCCCAGGCCUCCUGCACCAACACCCCAGCACCCCGAGUCCACGCUGGGUAUGCCCAUGGUGACGCUUCCCUGCGUAGAGAGCCCCAUCGAAAAGUUAAGUGGUCCUCAGCAUCCAGCACUUUGCUCCCCCCCCCCACUUUACAACACCUACGUUCAACCAUUCUAACCAACUUUAAGUCUUUUUUGCCUCCCACCUCACAAUCCCCGUUCUUUGUUCCCAUGUUUCUGUUUUGUACAUACCCCGCGGAGAUCUCCGUUCAGCGGGAUCACAUGACCAUCAGCCCUAUCGGUUCCCCGCCAAACCCGAUGUCCUCAUACUGUCUCGCUCCAUUUCCAGCGAAGUCUAGACCAGCCCGAGCAGCACUCGCCGCGCUGUGCCGCCCAUCCAGGUGGGCGGUACGCAACCCUGCACCGCUCUUAUUCCACGCAGGUCUAGAACUGCACAUACCCACCCUCCCCCGCCUUCUUUUUGCCCCGCCUCAACUCCCAGGGAACCGAUAGGCAAGACUUUUUCAACUGACUUUCUACUUUUGAUACAAACUCAUGUAAUCUGGCGUGCUUUGUGAAGAAAUACAAACUGUGACCACAGAGAAUGUCCACACUCAACCCCCCACCCCCCCUCCCAAAAUGUGCAUUGGAGAAGGCGGUACUUGACAGUGAAAUUCCAUCAUCACCGUUUCAUGUGACGUUGGACCAAAGAAACCCUGUGAAGGAUACGUUUACUCACCUAACACAACCUUUUCUUGCUUUUUCCUCACUCCCUCGCUCAAUCUUUUCACUCGCAUUCUCUAUCUCAUUACUUUCAUGCAUGCUGCGCCUCAAAGGCACACACAUACACACACGUACACACACACACGGUAGUCGGGAGUCUCCAUGUUCCAGUCCUCUCCGCUUGAGGUUUACUCACAUCAAAGGAUCCAUUUUGGAUCUGUCGGCAGACGCAGCAGACAAAAGCAAACAGGAUUAAAGAAGAAACAUCUUCACAUGUCGAUCAGCCGCGUGUUUCUCUCUCAGAUGGUCGCAAACUGAUGCAAAGUACUUGCGUCUGCGAUAAGGAAACAGGUGUUCUUUUAGGCAGGGAGGCUUUAUUUAAUGCCCGCAUUUUUCUGUCAGUUAGUGCUGGAAUGGGCACCGCUGAUCAUGUUUGCAAGUUGGAUGGGAUUUGGAGAUUAUUAUCUUGUAUCCAAAAGCUCUUUGUCAACACAGGCGCUCUUAAAGCAAAGUUCUUAAAGGCAACAAGGCUAAAUCUGUUUUUUUGUUUGGGUUUUUUUUUUUUUUUUUCCAUUGCUCCUUCCUCGCCGUCUUCUACAUUUGAUUCUCGCCUCCAUUUCAGAGGCACGGGAAAACAAUCAUACAUAUUUUAUAGGGUUACCCCUACACACACGGCUGAUGUAUCUGAGGUCAGCUUUUAUGGGAUUAUGGUCCUAUAUCAAACCAAACACCCUAUUGCAUAACACCAGGGUUCCAUACGCGGUUUACCUUUCUAUAUUCUAUACUUUUUCCAGACUCACUAAAUAGAUAUGCAUCAUUAGAGCUGCAACAAUUUCAAUUUCAGCCUCUCAAGUGUGCAUAUUUUUUCAUUCCCUUAGUCAUCCGUGAAAGCAGCCCUAUUAUCUUGGUCUUUUAGGCAAAAUAAGACAUUCACAAAUAUCAGAUUUGACUGUGGAAUACAGUCAGCCACAUUUUUGCGUGUUUUCAAACGUUCUGCAGACCAAACCACUUACUACUUGUGUUUGGUUCAUGUUGAUUUGGCAUGUCUAGUCAGCGGGAGCCGCCAUCACCUUUCCAUGACAAUUGGGGGGAUUUUUUUCAACUCAAAUUUUUCACAUCUUAUAUUUAAGAAGUUUUCAACACAACUUGAGACCCUUCUACAGCGGCAUGUUAAUCCUAACUCUAAGUCUGGCGCAGCGCCGCGCACCCACGCCUCCAUCCCUCCCACCGGCGUGACAGGGUUUAACGCAGCCUAGUGUAAUCUUAACCAAUCAAAUGAACACCUCUCAUUGCCGGACUGGACUGCAGAACUCAGAGGCCAAGGUAUGCGUCAUGCUCCACUUACGCCACCUCAUGGGACACUCUCUGUUCCUGACAGUUACAUUAAACACAGCAGCAGGCUAAUCCAGGCAUCUUGCUUGUUUUACACCAGUAUCCCUGCUCUACAGCGCCAAAUAAGAGAACCUUUGAUGGUAUAUUUGCGGUAUCGCCUCCUCAUCGUCCUUAAUAAAAUAAACAGUAAAAAAUAUAUCCUACAGCCAAAUUUUAACGGUGUGCGCGACACUCUGAAAAAGCUGCCUGGUUUUGGUGAGAUUUCUGCACUGUGCGCCUGUCAGUGAAUUUACCAUUGCACAGGCUGCGCUUCGCCUGCGCCAAGAAUAAAGCUGAAAAUAUGGACACCUCCCAUGGUGCGCCAACACGCCCAUCUCGGCUACGAGUCUACCAAAUUGGCUGCUCACUGUGAUGCAUUGGACCAAAUUACCACUGCCACCCUGCGCCACGAAAUUUGAGCCCUAUGUGUUUUUUCUCGCACUCAAGCUAGACAAAGUAACCCAGAUACAUGAGAUGUACCGUGCAGUCACGUAGUAAGCGAACAGGGCAGACAACAACAUGAGAUGCAUUCAUAAACAUUGGGUCAUUACAUAUUUUAAUUUUUUCCCCAGAAAAAAACCCGCAACCCACUUACAAGUCGUAUCAUUAUCCACUAUUUACACUGUAAGCUGUAUAUUGUUGUAUAUAUAUUUUUUUCUCAUCUUUUUCUAUCAAGAUUAAUAUUUUUACGCAGACAUUACCAACACUCUUGGGGGAAUAUCUUGUAUAUAGUAGAUUAAUAGAGACGAGCGUGCAGAGACACCGGAUCGCUCUGAGUUAUUAUUAUCGGAUAUAUUGGCUGGAAAUAUCAAGGUAAUUAGUUUUAAAAUGAGCUGCCUACUGCACGCUGAGACAAGGGCUGCAAACUGGGAAAAGAUCUGUAAAGCUGAACAUUUCAAAGUGAGCCACAUGCAAAAAAAGCCAGCAUAAUUAAAGAAAAACAUGAAUGCUUGUGGCUGAAGCAACAGAAGAAGAGACUUUUCACAGCUAAGAAAGCGCGCAUCUAGCGCAGGGGCGUCCAGCUGUUUUUUUUUUUAUUAGCCUGCGGCACAUUCUAAUAAUAUUUUAAUUUCACAAGAAAACUAAAAACACAACAGCAACAGCAAAAACUGAAUAUUCAGCAGUAACAAGAACAAAGUCAAAAUAUUAAUGUCAUAUUAUGAUGAGAAAAUAACAUCAUUUUAGUAGCAUAAUGUUGAAAUAUUAAAAAGGAUGUCAUUUUUAAACAUGACAUAACAUGAGAAAUAAAACGACGAAUAAUGUGUACAUUUUUGCAUAAAAAGUUAUAAUGUUAUGAGAAUAACGUUUGACAAGAAGUGGAAUAAUUGGAAAAUUAACAGCAGGAAUGUAGCUUUCAUUUUAGAAGCUGUAAUUUUACGAGAAUAAAGUCAAAAUAUUAAGAGAAAAAUUGUCAUUUUAGUAGUGUAGAGUUAAAAUAUUAAAGAAAAAUGUGUUUUUAUGUUGGGCAAAAAGUUAUAAUAAUGUAUGAGAAUAAAGUCACAAUAUUACAAGAAGAACAUGUCUUUUUAGAAAAUGUUGAAAUAUUGCGAAAAAACAAACAGCAAAAAAAAAAGCAAAGACUGAAGUUCAUUCUAUAAAAUGUUUUUUGGACACCCCUGAUAUAAAGUAUACAUCUCGAUAAAAGCAAACCAACACUAGCCCCCCCCCCCCCCCCCUCCUGUAUUUUGCACAACUUUCCCCGUUGUCCUCCCAUCUAUUCCCAGUAUAAGAUGAGCACUAUAAACACCAGCCAUGCAAUACUUUUGUACAUUUCAUCCCCUAUUAAAGACACGGUGUAACAAAUGAAUGAUAACUUUGAUCUUUUAUACAAUUCUUUUUUUUAAUAUUCAUGCCAUUUUGAUUAUAUUUUAUUCCGUUAAGCUGUGAGGUUGAAGUGAACAUUCACUGACUGUCAUGCACUAUGAGAAACCUAAAAAAAAACCUGUGUGGAAGCUCAGUAAGGCAGUACACACACACACACAGACACACACACACACACACAGUACAGGCACGUGUACAAAACUUUGUAUCAAACUGAUGACAUUUGCAGCAUGACACCCCUUCCAUUGCUUCUUUGUCGUCCCCAUGAAGCAGAAAUGCCUUAAGAUUAUCUCCAAUUAUUGGUGCACACAACAGCACAUAUGGGCGAUGACUAUUCUGAGUGUUAUGUGUCUUCAAAUGUUCAGUGCACGAUUAACAUUUGUGCAUUGUGAGUCAGUGCUUGCUGUCUGAGAGCUGCUUUUCGUUUUAAAACCACCCAGAUAUAAUAAAUGUGUCGACGCCAAAAGGAAGGAAUCAUGAACUGGUCAGAAUAUAGAAUAUUUUCCACUGGUUCAGUCCUCUAAAGUUAUUUCUGCUUCAUAGUGAAGAAAAAAACAACAACACCACUCCGGUUGACUGACAAGUAAAUAAAAAGCACCAGUCUCCUUCAGCUCUGCAACUCAGGAGGAAACAUGUUUUCUUUCUUCAAGUCUUGUUGCAGCAAAAGUGUCUGUUUUGUAAAGAUGUGUGUGAUGAGAAAAAUAAAUGGAUAUUGCAAUAACAGAAGAG